GGGUGAGGCUGUGAAUAGUUUUAUAUGGUUUUGGUUUGCAGGAUGAGUGGUUUGGAGAGGGUUUCUUGUGGUCCUGCAGUGUAGAUCUAUGGUGGAGGGAGCCAUGAUUUUCAUGGUUCUGUCCCUUCUUGGUGUUGUUGGUCUUAGUGUUGAUUGAAAAGGGCAUGAAAUCAAUUUGGGAGGAGGUCCAAGGAAGGUGACAAGAGGGUUAGAGCCGGCGCUUGAAAUUGCUUUGCUGGUUUGCCAUAGUUAGAAUGGCGUGGCCUCCAUUAUCCUCUUCUCCUUGGUUGAUGGUCUAAUAGUGACGAGGUUUUCUUAAUCUUGAGUGUCGGAGGAAGCAGUUUGUCCAUGUUGCCUCUAUUUAUUUUUCCACGUGUUGUUGCACCAGCAUCCAGUGAUGCUUUGUGGUGGCUAUGGCAGUUUUUGUUCUUAUAGUUAGAGUGGUUUGAAUUGCAUUGUUGGGUUAUGGGUUUGAAUUGCUAUUUGUGGUUGGUUUUGAACUUUU
This 505-nucleotide unclassified non-coding RNA is filed under the name Hevea brasiliensis (rubber tree). The record is from RNAcentral. Lineage: Eukaryota; Viridiplantae; Streptophyta; Magnoliopsida; Malpighiales; Euphorbiaceae.